Molecule: ribosomal RNA, 1352 nt
Filed under: Staphylococcus condimenti
Lineage: Bacteria; Bacillati; Bacillota; Bacilli; Caryophanales; Staphylococcaceae
Description: bacterial SSU rRNA
Rfam family: Bacterial small subunit ribosomal RNA
Source: RNAcentral
GAACCGCAUGGUUCUGCAAUGAAAGACGGUCUUGCUGUCACUUAUAGAUGGACCCGCGCCGUAUUAGCUAGUUGGUAAGGUAACGGCUUACCAAGGCAACGAUACGUAGCCGACCUGAGAGGGUGAUCGGCCACACUGGAACUGAGACACGGUCCAGACUCCUACGGGAGGCAGCAGUAGGGAAUCUUCCGCAAUGGGCGAAAGCCUGACGGAGCAACGCCGCGUGAGUGAUGAAGGUCUUCGGAUCGUAAAACUCUGUUAUUAGGGAAGAACAAGUGCGUAGGUAACUAUGCGCACCUUGACGGUACCUAAUCAGAAAGCCACGGCUAACUACGUGCCAGCAGCCGCGGUAAUACGUAGGUGGCAAGCGUUAUCCGGAAUUAUUGGGCGUAAAGCGCGCGUAGGCGGUUUUUUAAGUCUGAUGUGAAAGCCCACGGCUCAACCGUGGAGGGUCAUUGGAAACUGGAAAACUUGAGUGCAGAAGAGGAAAGUGGAAUUCCAUGUGUAGCGGUGAAAUGCGCAGAGAUAUGGAGGAACACCAGUGGCGAAGGCGACUUUCUGGUCUGCAACUGACGCUGAUGUGCGAAAGCGUGGGGAUCAAACAGGAUUAGAUACCCUGGUAGUCCACGCCGUAAACGAUGAGUGCUAAGUGUUAGGGGGUUUCCGCCCCUUAGUGCUGCAGCUAACGCAUUAAGCACUCCGCCUGGGGAGUACGGCCGCAAGGCUGAAACUCAAAGGAAUUGACGGGGACCCGCACAAGCGGUGGAGCAUGUGGUUUAAUUCGAAGCAACGCGAAGAACCUUACCAAAUCUUGACAUCCUUUGACCGCUCUAGAGAUAGAGUCUUCCCCUUCGGGGGACAAAGUGACAGGUGGUGCAUGGUUGUCGUCAGCUCGUGUCGUGAGAUGUUGGGUUAAGUCCCGCAACGAGCGCAACCCUUAAGCUUAGUUGCCAGCAUUAAGUUGGGCACUCUAAGUUGACUGCCGGUGACAAACCGGAGGAAGGUGGGGAUGACGUCAAAUCAUCAUGCCCCUUAUGAUUUGGGCUACACACGUGCUACAAUGGACAGUACAAAGGGCAGCGAAACCGCGAGGUCAAGCAAAUCCCAUAAAGCUGUUCUCAGUUCGGAUUGUAGUCUGCAACUCGACUACAUGAAGCUGGAAUCGCUAGUAAUCGUAGAUCAGCAUGCUACGGUGAAUACGUUCCCGGGUCUUGUACACACCGCCCGUCACACCACGAGAGUUCGUAACACCCGAAGCCGGUGGAGUAACCUUUUAGGAGCUAGCCGUCGAAGGUGGGACGAAUGAUUGGGGUGAAGUCGUAACAAGGUAGCCGUAUCGGAAGGUGCGGCUG